RNAcentral lists this transfer RNA (65 nucleotides) under Meristata sp. BMNH 846556. RNAcentral describes it as "tRNA-Phe". Lineage: Eukaryota; Metazoa; Arthropoda; Insecta; Coleoptera; Chrysomelidae. The record is from RNAcentral.
ACUUAAAUAGCUUAUAAUUAGAGUAUAAUUUUGAAGAAGUUAUGGAAAUCUUAGAUUUUUAAGUA